This 62-nucleotide transfer RNA is filed under the name Ictidomys tridecemlineatus (thirteen-lined ground squirrel). Its description in RNAcentral is "Spermophilus tridecemlineatus (thirteen-lined ground squirrel) tRNA". It matches the Rfam family "tRNA". From Rfam's summary of the family: Transfer RNA (tRNA) molecules are approximately 80 nucleotides in length. Their secondary structure includes four short double-helical elements and three loops (D, anti-codon, and T loops). Lineage: Eukaryota; Metazoa; Chordata; Mammalia; Rodentia; Sciuridae. The record is from Rfam by way of RNAcentral.
GGGGUUGUGGCUCAGUGGUAGAGCGCUCACCUGGCAUGUGUGAGGCCCUGGAUUCAUCCUCA